GAUCAUGGCUCAGAUUGAACGCUGGCGGUAUGCUUAACACAUGCAAGUCGAACGGUAGCAGGCCUUCGGGCGCUGACGAGUGGCGGACGGGUGAGUAACGCGUAGGAAUCUGCCUCAUAGUGGGGGACAACGUGGGGAAACUCACGCUAAUACCGCAUACGCCCUACGGGGGAAAGCGGGGGAUCUUCGGACCUCGCGCUAUGAGAUGAGCCUGCGUUAGAUUAGCUAGUUGGUAGGGUAAAGGCCUACCAAGGCGACGAUCUAUAGCUGGUCUGAGAGGACGAUCAGCCACACUGGGACUGAGACACGGCCCAGACUCCUACGGGAGGCAGCAGUGGGGAAUAUUGGACAAUGGGCGCAAGCCUGAUCCAGCAAUACCGCGUGUGUGAAGAAGGCCUUAGGGUUUGUAAAGCACUUUCAAUUGGGAGGAAAACCUGUCGGUCAAUACCCGGCAGCUUGACAUUACCUUUUAGAAGAAGCACCGGCUAACUCCGUGCCAGCAGCCGCGG
This 509-nucleotide ribosomal RNA is filed under the name uncultured bacterium. Its description in RNAcentral is "bacterial SSU rRNA". It matches the Rfam family "Bacterial small subunit ribosomal RNA", at positions 15 to 520 of the family's 1533-position model. The record is from RNAcentral.